AGCGUAGGCGGACAGUUAAGUCAGAGGUGAAAGCCCAGGGCUCAACCCUGGAAUUGCCUUUGAUACUGAUUGUCUUGAGUAUGGGAGAGGUAUGCGGAACUCCGAGUGUAGAGGUGAAAUUCGUAGAUAUUCGGAAGAACACCAGUGGCGAAGGCGGCAUACUGGCCCAUUACUGACGCUGAGGCUCGAAAGCGUGGGAGCAAACA
This 206-nucleotide ribosomal RNA is filed under the name uncultured bacterium. RNAcentral's name for it is "partial 16S ribosomal RNA". It matches the Rfam family "Bacterial small subunit ribosomal RNA", at positions 568 to 774 of the family's 1533-position model. The record is from RNAcentral.